This 978-nucleotide long non-coding RNA is filed under the name Pan troglodytes (chimpanzee). Its description in RNAcentral is "lncRNA (ENSPTRG00000053228.1)". The record is from RNAcentral. Lineage: Eukaryota; Metazoa; Chordata; Mammalia; Primates; Hominidae.
AAAUGCACACAUACAUCACACGUUUUAAAGUGACUUGAUAAUUAAUAUUGUUACACUUGAGAAAAAUCCUGGCUCUCCAUGGAGAAGUCAUGUCAUGAGUCAGAAGAGUGCAGGCUGAGGCAUGCCCUCCUCUGAACGGCUUGUCUGCACUCUAAAAGCCAAGUGAACCAACCAUUCCAUCCGUAUGAAGAGCAUAAGUCCUGGAUUUGUGUCGUGAUGUCAUCUCAGGUGCCACUGCUAUCUGUUCUGAGGUUCACUCUGUUCAGCAGCCUUGGACUCUUCAUGGAGUAACAGAUUGGUAUAACUACAGCCUUGAGCCUCACUUGAACCACCACAGCCUCUUCUGGACAGCCAGCAGUCCUUGAAGUCUCAGAGUCUUUUAACCAAAGGGUGUGGAUGUUUCCUUAUUGAUAUCAUCAAAGAUCUAGUGUAUCAAGAUGACAAACUUUGCUCCCUGUUGGGCCAAAAAGAGACAUAAAAUUUAAAACAACAACAACAAAACAAACAAAGCAACACAAACAAAACAACAACGAUAAAAAACAGCCUUCUUCUUUUAGCGACUGCAGUACUGCACCAGGGAAGAGGUGGUCAUCAACUAUGAAGGAAUCCAGACCUUUAAUCCUGUAGAGCUUCCAAGUAAGGAUAAUGGGUCAACUACAACCUUCUACCUAGGAUAUGUCGACGUGCACGGCAUUAGGAAAAUCUGCUCUUUAAAUUAAAAUACAAACUCAUGAGGAUUUUCUUUAUCAUUUACCAAAAAUAUAUGCCUUAGAUAUUCUUUAAUUUCAUUCAUUCAGUCAGUGAAAUGAUAAAUGUUUGUUAGGUGCCUAUUAGGAGUCAGACACCAUACUAGCCAAUCUAAAAGAUAAAAUUGCAUUUAUAAAACCUUUGAUAAUCACAGUUAUUCCAGAUAUACUAGGGAACACCUAAUGUUAAUACCUGUUAAUUCUCAGUUAUCUAUUUUGAUGGAGAAAGAAA